RNAcentral lists this ribosomal RNA (253 nucleotides) under uncultured bacterium. RNAcentral's name for it is "partial 16S ribosomal RNA". It matches the Rfam family "Bacterial small subunit ribosomal RNA", at positions 524 to 776 of the family's 1533-position model. The record is from RNAcentral.
GACAGAGGGGGCGAGCGUUGUCCGGAGUCACUGGGCGUAAAGCGCGCGCAGGCGGCAACCUAAGUGUCGUGUGAAAGCCCCCGGCUCAACCGGGGGAGGCCAUGGCAAACUGGGUCGCUCGAGCUGCGGAGAGGCCCCUCGAAUUGCCGGUGUAGCGGUGAAAUGCGUAGAGAUCGGCAGGAAGACCAAGGGGGAAGCCAGGGGGCGGGCCGCAGGCUGACGCUGAGGCGCGACAGCGUGUGGAGCAAACAGG